UAGGGAAUCUUCCGCAAUGGGCGAAAGCCUGACGGAGCAACGCCGCGUGAGUGAUGAAGGUCUUCGGAUCGUAAAACUCUGUUAUUAGGGAAGAACAAAUGUGUAAGUAACUAUGCACGUCUUGACGGUACCUAAUCAGAAAGCCACGGCUAACUACGUGCCAGCAGCCGCGGUAAUACGUAGGUGGCAAGCGUUAUCCGGAAUUAUUGGGCGUAAAGCGCGCGUAGGCGGUUUUUUAAGUCUGAUGUGAAAGCCCACGGCUCAACCGUGGAGGGUCAUUCGAAACUGGAAAACUUGAGUGCAGAAGAGGAAAGUGGAAUUCCAUGUGUAGCGGUGAAAUGCGCAGAGAUAUGGAGGAUCACCAGUGGCGAAGGCGACUUUCUGGUCUGUAACUGACGCUGAUGUGCGAAAGCGUGGGGAUCAAACAGG
RNAcentral lists this ribosomal RNA (429 nucleotides) under Actinomycetes bacterium. RNAcentral describes it as "Actinobacteria bacterium partial 16S ribosomal RNA". It matches the Rfam family "Bacterial small subunit ribosomal RNA", at positions 355 to 776 of the family's 1533-position model. Lineage: Bacteria; Bacillati; Actinomycetota; Actinomycetes. The record is from RNAcentral.